AACGUAGGAGGCGAGCGUUAUCCGGAUUUACUGGGUGUAAAGCGCGUGCAGGCGGUCGGAUAAGUUGGGUGUGAAAGCUCCUGGCUCAACUGGGAGAGGUCGCUCAAGACUGCCCGACUGGAGCGUGGUAGGGGAAGGCGGAAUUCCAGGUGUAGUGGUGAAAUGCGUAGAUAUCUGGAGGAACACCAGUGGCGAAAGCGGCCUUCUGGACCACGACUGACGCUCAGACGCGAAAGCUAGGGGAGCAAACGGG
RNAcentral lists this ribosomal RNA (253 nucleotides) under uncultured bacterium. RNAcentral's name for it is "partial 16S ribosomal RNA". It matches the Rfam family "Bacterial small subunit ribosomal RNA", at positions 524 to 776 of the family's 1533-position model. The record is from RNAcentral.